GACGAACGCUGGCGGCGUGCCUAAUACAUGCAAGUUGAGCGCUGAAGGUUGGUACUUGUACCAACUGGAUGAGCAGCGAACGGGUGAGUAACGCGUGGGGAAUCUGCCUUUGAGCGGGGGACAACAUUUGGAAACGAAUGCUAAUACCGCAUAAAAACUUUAAACACAAGUUUUAAGUUUGAAAGAUGCAAUUGCAUCACUCAAAGAUGAUCCCGCGUUGUAUUAGCUAGUUGGUGAGGUAAAGGCUCACCAAGGCGAUGAUACAUAGCCGACCUGAGAGGGUGAUCGGCCACAAUGGGACCGGGACACGGCCCAAACUCCUACGGGAGGCAGCAGUAGGGAAUCUUCGGCAAGGGACGAAAGUCUGACCGAGCAACGCCGCGUGAGUGAAGAAGGUUUUCGGAUCGUAAAACUCUGUUGGUAGAGAAGAACGUUGGUGAGAGUGGAAAGCUCAUCAAGUGACGGUAACUACCCAGAAAGGGACGGCUAACUACGUG
RNAcentral lists this ribosomal RNA (497 nucleotides) under uncultured bacterium. RNAcentral describes it as "partial 16S ribosomal RNA". It matches the Rfam family "Bacterial small subunit ribosomal RNA", at positions 28 to 507 of the family's 1533-position model. The record is from RNAcentral.